CAGGGUUUGUAAAUCUUCCUCUUCUGUGAUACCAUCUGAUACGCUGAGUGCUGAACACUGCUAUCACUGGCAAAUUUUUCUUCUUGAGUCUGAAAGUGGCACUGGACAUAUGAAGUAAAACGGCAGGGUUUCUGAUUGUGCUGCAGAUCAUUCAAGCCUUACUAGGUACAACUGUCCUUACCAUGAUAACUGUUCAAUACCUCAUAUAUUGCUGGAUGAAAUUACUAUGGACAAAAAAGAAUGGGUACAUGAGAGAMCAAUUUGGCACCUUACUGCAGGGGAGUGGAGGAAGAGAUUUAGACUGACUUCAUCCACAUGAGCAGAGGAGUUUCUUGAGCYGCAAGGUUUGCUCUAUCCGUGUGUGCGCUGUUGAAGCUAGGUGGCGAGAGGCUGGAGAGCGUGAGGGCUGAUGUCCAUGGCAGAUGCCCAACAGGCCCCCAUGGAGCCGUGGAAGGAGCCGGCGAUGGCCUGCGUGGCUGGGCCGGCCCCGCGCUCCUCCCAGGGACAGGGYCGCGUUGAGCACCGCUGAGCUGCUGCCCGCGGCCAUGGGGACGGGGCCUGCGGAGCAGGCCUCAGGUGGGCGAGCAGCAAAGGGGACAGGCUCUGCGGUGCCAGCUGCUCUGCCACUGACCUGCGUGCUGAAAGAACUGGAAAUUACUUGAGCUUUACUGCUGUCUUAGGGCACGCUGUGGUCCUUUCAUUUUGUUUUGCCUUUGUUGUAACUUGGCUGAAAGGUUUUGUUUAUAAUCUGUAUGUAAGCUUUUCUUUUAUUGUAAGCUUUGCUGCAACUUCCCCAAGUUCUGUUUUUUCUCUCUGUUCUCCUUUUCUUUAGUAACCUCACUGGGCUUUCUUUCUGGAAAUGAGAAGCCAAGGAAAACCGUGUGGUGCUGCCUUAAAGGGCUUCCCUAACUACAGAGCUGGGAGCAUUUUUGCCCUCUGAACCUUGGCUCUGCCCCUGAGGCACAAACCACAUGUUCCACAUGAAAGCCUCUGUCCUUAAGGAGAAUCUCAUCAGGGGAGAGUUUACAAGAUGCAGAUCCUAACUGUUCCCCUCUUGACAGCCUGUCCAGGCCACCCAUUUAUAUUUAAUAGUCAUAACAACCAAAAUGUAAAAUAUUUCCAAGUUUUGAAAGCCAUUAGUUUACCCAGUUUUGGUCAGCUAGUAAUCACAGAGAUCAGCUGUCUAAACAGU
Long non-coding RNA from Nothoprocta perdicaria, 1192 nucleotides. RefSeq lists it as uncharacterized. The transcript is spliced from 6 exons. The record is from RefSeq and is a predicted model, not a curated record. NCBI's taxonomy places the organism in Eukaryota, Metazoa, Chordata, Aves, Tinamiformes, Tinamidae.